RNAcentral lists this ribosomal RNA (329 nucleotides) under uncultured eukaryote. Its description in RNAcentral is "partial 18S ribosomal RNA". It matches the Rfam family "Eukaryotic small subunit ribosomal RNA", at positions 1470 to 1796 of the family's 1831-position model. The record is from RNAcentral.
CCCUUAGAUGUUCUGGGUCGCACGCGCGCUACACUGAUGCAUUCAACGAGUCUAAAACCUGGUCUGAGAGGGCUGGGUAAUCUUUUGAAAGUGCAUCGUGAUUGGGAUAGAUGAUUGCAAUUCUUCAUCUUCAACGAGGAAUGCCUAGUAAACGCAAGUCAUCAGCUUGCAUUGAUUACGUCCCUGCCCUUUGUACACACCGCCCGUCGCUCCUACCGAUUGAACGAUCCGAUGAAAACUGUGGAUUGAGAGUCUGAGUGGGUUCGCCUACCUCAACUUUCGAGAAGCGGUUUAAAUCUUAUCGUUUAGAGGAAGGAGAAGUCGUAACA